GCCCACCUCCACCCCGGGCCGCUAGCCGCUGGACCGGAGAGCUAGUUGGGGUGGCAGGUCGGGGGAGUUCAGGGCGCCCCAGGGGACCGUCCAGGGGCGGCUCGGGCCAACAGAAGACACCCCACCUGUGCAAAGGCUGGAAAGGAAGGGAUAAAGGCCCAACAGUGCCGUUCCUGGGUUGUAUGGAAUCCUGAAUUCAUGUAUUCAAAUGAAGCCUGGGUUUCUGAAUGACUAAAUGAAUGCAGCCUGC
Ailuropoda melanoleuca (giant panda) is the source of this 250-nucleotide long non-coding RNA. RefSeq lists it as uncharacterized. The record is from RefSeq and is a predicted model, not a curated record. The transcript is spliced from 3 exons. Lineage: Eukaryota; Metazoa; Chordata; Mammalia; Carnivora; Ursidae.